Molecule: unclassified non-coding RNA, 200 nt
Filed under: soil metagenome
Description: partial contains internal transcribed spacer 2 and large subunit ribosomal RNA
Source: RNAcentral
CCUGUUCGAGCGUCAUUACACCCCUCAAGCCUCGCUUGGUAUUGGGCGACGGGACACCCCGCGCCUCAAUUUCGCCGGCUGGACGGACCCGAUCUCAGCGUUGUGGCACACAAAUCCGCUGGCGAGAAGGGACGGCCGGGCCGCUAAACACCCCAUCAAAGGUUGACCUCGGAUCAGGUAGGGAUACCCGCUGAACUUAA